GACGAACGCUGGCGGCGUGCCUAAUACAUGCAAGUAGAACGCUGAAGCUUGGUGCUUGCACCGAGCGGAUGAGUUGCGAACGGGUGAGUAACGCGUAGGUAACCUGCCUGGUAGCGGGGGAUAACUAUUGGAAACGAUAGCUAAUACCGCAUAAGAGUAGAUGUUGCAUGACAUUUGCUUAAAAGGUGCAAUUGCAUCACUACCAGAUGGACCUGCGUUGUAUUAGCUAGUUGGUGAGGUAACGGCUCACCAAGGCAACGAUACAUAGCCGACCUGAGAGGGUGAUCGGCCACACUGGGACUGAGACACGGCCCAGACUCCUACGGGAGGCAGCAGUAGGGAAUCUUCGGCAAUGGACGGAAGUCUGACCGAGCAACGCCGCGUGAGUGAAGAAGGUUUUCGGAUCGUAAAACUCUGUUGUAAGAGAAGAACGAGUGUGAGAGUGGAAAGUUCACACUGUGACGUAUCUACCAGAAAGGC
This 480-nucleotide ribosomal RNA is filed under the name Streptococcus sp. oral taxon C08. RNAcentral describes it as "bacterial SSU rRNA". It matches the Rfam family "Bacterial small subunit ribosomal RNA", at positions 28 to 492 of the family's 1533-position model. Lineage: Bacteria; Bacillati; Bacillota; Bacilli; Lactobacillales; Streptococcaceae. The record is from RNAcentral.